Small nucleolar RNA from Pseudophryne corroboree (corroboree frog), 135 nucleotides. RefSeq annotates it as small nucleolar RNA SNORA70. The transcript has a single exon. NCBI's taxonomy places the organism in Eukaryota, Metazoa, Chordata, Amphibia, Anura, Myobatrachidae. The record is from RefSeq and is a predicted model, not a curated record.
UUGCAGCUACUUAAGCCGACCAGCUUUUGCCGUUAUCAGAAGGUGGUGUGCAAUGGCUGCAUACAGCAAUAUCCCAGGUUGUGUAUGUGCUUUGUGUCGCUGUACAAAGUGCUGUAAGGGACCUCGGAGACACUU